RNAcentral lists this ribosomal RNA (1161 nucleotides) under Triticum aestivum (bread wheat). Its description in RNAcentral is "partial small subunit ribosomal RNA". Lineage: Eukaryota; Viridiplantae; Streptophyta; Magnoliopsida; Poales; Poaceae. The record is from RNAcentral.
AUGAAGAGGCAGUUUGUAAAUCUUGUGACGCGGAACUGGACGGAAGGCUUGUAUUCUGUGCGCCGCAUCGAUCCUUACCGUAAUUUCUUCUACGGUUCAGCAGAAGCAGCAGCCGUUGAAGUAGCCAAGAAGAAGGAAUCUUUCCCAGCGACGCAGAUGCAGGAGCUGCCGACCCCAAGCAUCAACUUCGAGUCGUUUCCAGCGAUGCAGAUCCAGGAGCUGCCGACCCCAAGCGUCAAGAUCGCUGCAAUAGAUGUUCCUGGAUACACCCUCGAUAUGUUCGGGCUCUUCACCCCCCGCGCCACCAGCGAAGGCAGAAUGGUGUAUGCCAAUACGAUGGGCGAUGCGGGGCUGUAUGACGCCGACAAUCGUAUCCACACCUGCCUAGGCCGCCUCAACAAGCCCAAGGGACACAGACCCAUGUGCCUAUCCGUGGCGCACCCUGACGCCGACGAAGAAGACAGAAUGUAUGUCCUGGAUUCGAACCCCAGGAAGGGCGCCCAACAAUGCUUUGAGGUCCUUGAGCGCACGCCCAGAAAAUGGAGGAUCAGCUUGUUGCCGCAAUGGCAUUGGCGACUUCUAUCCCCGCCUCCCUUUGUCCACCAACCUGGGUACCAACCAUCCUUUAUUACCUCCUUCACCACCAUGGUCGAUGGCGACGGUGUCUCCACAAUCUACAUAUCAGGCGAUGGCGGCAUCGGCACCUACAGCUUCGAGACACCGCGCCACCAGUAUAGUGAGCCUCGAGGAUGGAGUCACGUCGGGGAAUGGAUGCUGCCCUUUCGUGGUAGAGCUCAGUACGUCCCUGAGUUCAAUCUGUGGUUUGGCUUCUCAGACUUAAACCCCAACCACCUGUGUGCUACGGACCUCUCUGCCAUGUACAAUGGACAGCAGCCCACUGCGCCCAAAGUAUGGGAAGAUCUGAACCUGCCUGAGGGAGAGGCGUGGCUUCCAAAACAGCUCGAGCUUCUCCCCCUGGGUGGCGGCAAGUUUCUCAUUGCUAAGACCUUUGCAGCAGGAGAGUUAGGUGGGUACUUUUCUCUGCUCACCGGCAUAGAGAUGAUCCCUGGCGACGGUGGUGACCGACAGGCCCUUCAGAUGGUCAAGCACAAGUGUGCACGUUUUGUCUUCAUGGAUGAGGAGCUUGAGUGGGUGCUCUGA